Molecule: long non-coding RNA, 3055 nt
Organism: Cygnus olor (mute swan)
Lineage: Eukaryota; Metazoa; Chordata; Aves; Anseriformes; Anatidae
Exons: 2
Source: RefSeq, a predicted model, not a curated record
UACUUGUCAUGUUAUCGCCCUCAGCACAGCCCUUGGCUGCCUGCAGCAUCCUGUGCGCGCCGCACAAAAACACCCUGACGUCACGUCUCCGGCUCUGCCAAGGGGCAAGGAGCCGGCUGCAGCCCUCGGGUUCAGCCGGGGGGAUCUCGGGAACGAUCCCAAAGCCGAAGCUUUCCCCUGGCCGCGCUCCCAGGACCGCGCCGGGGAGGGUGCCCCCGGAGCCGCUGCCCCUCCGCCGCGCUCCGGGCUUCGGGGUUGGGGUUGUAGAAAGCUGCAGAUCUCGUCGGGAGGAUUGGCAGUGGUGUGGGGUGGGAGGAAAUAACUGCUUGAGGCAGUAACAAGUGGCUUAAAAAUGGUAUCGGAGUGCUGCCGGGGGGGGAUCUGGCCACAGCAGCACCUCCCUGUGCUCCCAGAAAGCAGAGGCAGCCGGAGCAGGGCACUCACCGAGCACUGCUGGGAUUUAUCCCCUUAUCCCCGCCUCCGCCACCCUCCUAAUUCCUGUGAAAUGUGGCGAUCCCAUUCUGUGUUAAGCAGGAGACGUGACCCCGAUGCUGCCCGGCUCGCCGGGACCCCCGAAACCAUUUUACUGCUGCUUGGAGGACGCUGAAACGCCGUGGCUCAGCGGCGAGCACCCGACUGCCUUGUGCCGGCUCCACCCGCAGCGAAAAAUAAAAACUUAUUCCCUUCUCCCCUUUUUUUUUUUUUUUUGGGCAGGGGAGAGGGCACAACCGGGAGCAAGGUUUUGGCUGCCGAGCCCUUUGAGGCAGCUCACAGCAGGGCUCGACGAGAGCGAACGCAAGGAAAAAGAGAGGGGAAAGCCGGCUUUGUUUGGUGGCAGCAGGCUACGAGCACGGUGCAGCCGUCCUGGGAAACAAACCCGCUGUUCCCUCGUUCCCCAUCCCCUCCAUCCGUGUGUGCCCGGGGUUUUUAAGGUGCCGGGGCAGCGUGGUUUCGCAGUGCCUGGCAUCGAUCCUGACCCUGUUGCAGAGAGGCCGUGGAGAGGAGGGGAGCUGCGGCGAGGUGAGAGGAGAGCGGGUCCCGCGGGGAACGGGGCUCGUCCGAAACUCCUGCUCUGGAUGAGACACAAGAGGGACCCCAAAAGGCCAAGACAACCCCCUCUGCUUGGGGUUUUGACCCAGACGAGGCAAUUCCAGCAGCUCCUUUUGGGGCAGAGGACCGGGAUCACAAGGGCCCAGGCGUUUCACUGCCAUCGCGGAGAGGAGGAGACGCCGCUCUCAGGGGGGAAAGGCGUUUUGUUGCGCUAACCCGGAGUGACUAAUCCCCCGCGUGUGUCUCCCAAGCUGAACCGAGGGCUUUGAUGUGUCACUGAGCAUCAUUCCCCCACCCCGCCCUCUGCUUUUCCACUCCUCAACAGAAAAGAUGAAUCACAGCGACCGUUCGCCCUUCCUUGAAAUGCACAUCUCUCUCUUUUUUUUUUCUUUUUUUCCCCUUUUAAACAAACAGGCGGCUUCCACUCCAGCGACAGUGACAAACGCCACACCAGGAGGGAGGACGAGCUCGGGGCUUUGCUUUCUCCACCCCCGAGCACCUGCCCAACCUGUCCCCAAGCUGCAUCCCCCAAAUUCUCACUAUUCAUUCGGCACAAGGGAAUGCAGAGCCCUCUUUUGAAGAGCUGGUAACGCAGACGGGGCAAUAUCGAGGCACCGCUUGUGGCACCCAGAGAGGAAGCGCUCAGCCCGGCAGCUCCUUUUCAGAAAGGACCAGUUGCUUUAGGAUGAAGCCCAGCCACUAUUUAGCCCACCGGCAUCCCUACCCAACACGAUGCGUCCUGGAGAGCGAGCAAACGGCCCGCGGGCAGGGAAAACACGGGCGAAAAGAGGAAGCCAAGAUAAAAUAAACCGAGCCAAAAUAAAAUAAACCAAGCCACGCUUCGGGCGCAGCCCGUUCUGCGGGGCCGAGAGAACCUCCCAGCUGCGGGAUGCUCCCGGUGAGCCAGCCACGGAGCAGCCCCCUUGAAACAAAGGUGUGGGAGGGGAUCGUUCCCUUAAAAUCCCGUUAGGGAGGCUGAGCCCUGCUUAAAAGGCACGCGCUCGGUCACGCAGCGCCGCCGGCCGAUGGUGCUUACCCUGUCCCGGGACAGCGGCGCGGUGCAGGGAGCGGGGAGCAGCCCCCGGCUAAGAAAAGUGCAGAGGAAAGGUAAAAAAAAAAAAAAAAAAGAGGAAUUUUACCUGCGGGGAUGCGGCACCGCGGAGCGGUUCGGCCCUGUUGCCACAGUAACCCUCCUGGUGCAGCCGAGAUCGCUGAUUAUGAAACUAGAAAAAUCAGAGGCUGCUAAUUAAGGGUGUGCCCCAGCGCCGAGCUGGCUCCGCGCGAGCGCCGCGACGCCACCGAGCGCGGCACAGCGUGGCAGCCUGCCCGUGAAAGAGCUUUUGGGGCAGUUUUACACCUUUCCGCAUCACCCCCUGCACAUUCAGCUCGUUUUGUUUGCCAUUAAACCGGAUGAACGAGACUCAGCGGAGCAGCCCUUACGUGCACGCGCACCCAGCUCACCCUCCAAGCAAGCAGGGUACCAGAGCGCACCGCAAAACCCAUGAAAAAUGCCUCGAUGGCUAUUUCCAGAGCUGCAAAACCAGAGAGAUGCCGCUUUACCGUGUCAGCCCAACCAAACGCUGGGGUUUUGAUGCUGCUGAGCUGAAAUUUGCCGCGCCCCGAGCUCGCCGAGCCCCCUGCACCGUCCCAGCAGUGCCGCAGCGGCUCCGGGCUGGAGCUCUGUGCCCUCCUGCACUGACACGGGGGAUUUGAGCUGAACAUUUUGGUCUUAUUGGAGGCCUUGUUUCUGACCCUUUAAUAGACUUUCUUUACGGGAAUUAGUCUUUUAAUGCUGCGUGCCCGUGUAUGUAGCAUGAUAAGCUGUUCUGGUGCAACCACGGAGCGAACAUCUGCUGUGGUGAGCAAUUAACCAACUUACUGCCAAUUAGGGGCACGGCAGGUAGGAGCAGCGCAGGCAGCGGGGCAGGAAGGCUGUCCCAGGAGGAGAGAGGUCCCGAUGCUCACUCUGACACCUUUCUCCUGAAAUAAACAUUUUUGUACGGCC